Molecule: transfer RNA, 97 nt
Filed under: Burkholderia oklahomensis
Lineage: Bacteria; Pseudomonadati; Pseudomonadota; Betaproteobacteria; Burkholderiales; Burkholderiaceae
Description: tRNA-Arg(gcg)
Source: RNAcentral
GCUCGCGUUCACGUCCGGCAACGCGGUGCGGCUUUGCGACGGCGGCGCCGCGUUCUUCCCGGCGCUGAUCGAGCGGAUCGACGCCGCCCGCGAGCGC